UACGGAGGGGGCUAACGUUGUUCGGAAUUACUGGGCGUAAAGCGCGCGUAGGCGGAUGGUCAAGUCGGGGGUGAAAUCCCGGGGCCCAACCCCGGAACUGCCUCCGAUACUGGCCGUCUGGAGGACGGGAGAGGCGAGUGGAAUGCCGAGUGUAGAGGUGAAAUUCGUAGAUAUUCGGCGGAACACCCGUGGCGAAGGCGGCUCGCUGGUCCGUUUCUGACGCUGAGGCGCGAAAGCGUGGGGAGCAAACAGG
This 253-nucleotide unclassified non-coding RNA is filed under the name uncultured Rhodobacterales bacterium. Its description in RNAcentral is "contains 16S-23S intergenic spacer region". It matches the Rfam family "Bacterial small subunit ribosomal RNA", at positions 524 to 776 of the family's 1533-position model. The record is from RNAcentral. Lineage: Bacteria; Pseudomonadati; Pseudomonadota; Alphaproteobacteria; Rhodobacterales.